RNAcentral lists this ribosomal RNA (489 nucleotides) under uncultured bacterium. RNAcentral describes it as "partial 16S ribosomal RNA". It matches the Rfam family "Bacterial small subunit ribosomal RNA", at positions 28 to 507 of the family's 1533-position model. The record is from RNAcentral.
GACGAACGCUGGCGGCGUGCUUAACACAUGCAAGUCGAACGGAAAGGCCCCCACCUUGGUGGGGGUGCUCGAGUGGCGAACGGGUGAGUAACACGUGGGUGAUCUGCCCUGUACUUCGGGAUAAGCUUGGGAAACUGGGUCUAAUACCGGAUAGGACCAUGGUUUAGUGUCUCAUGGUGGAAAAAUUAUUGUUUUGGUGCAGGAUGAGCUCGCGGCCUAUCAGCUUGUUGGUGGGGUAAUGGCCUACCAAGGCGUCGACGGGUAGCCGGCCUGAGAGGGUGGACGGCCACAUUGGGACUGAGAUACGGCCCAGACUCGUACGGGAGGCAGCAGUGGGGAAUAUUGCACAAUGGGCGCAAGCCUGAUGCAGCGACGCCGCGUGGGGGAUGACGGCCUUCGGGUUGUAACCUCCUUUCGUUAGGGACGAAGCCACACCUUUUUUGGGUGUGGUGACGGUACCUUUGUUAAGAAGCACCGGCUAACUACGUG